GGGGUAAUGAAAUGGCAAUUGGAUCUUUCCGUAUUGUCUCUUCCAUCUUUUUCUCUAAGUCGGCAACAUUUGGAAUAUUAAACAUGCGCUUCUCUGCGGCAAUUGAUACGGCAACAACAUGAAUGACGUCAUGCAUUUUAACUUCAUCUUCAGCAUCACCGUCCAACAAUAAGCAUGAAGAUUUGAGGUUGUCGAUCAACCGAUGCACUCUACUCCUUGCUUCUUCCAAUGUGUAAACAUUUUCAAACAAACCCCAACCCACACCAUAUCUCAAUAAGUCAGAAACUUGUAUGGCAUGACCUUCACUGUAUAGACCACAAAGACGGAACAGAGAUUUUGCCUCCUCACUUUCCAAGAAGUCAUGACUCAAUUUUAUGGAGGUGUACACAUUUGCUUGCAUGCCAUGAAUUUCUCUUGCAUCCGAUCUUCUUAGCUGAUUCAAUGCAUCUUUCCAAAAGUCACGCUCCUUAGUUUUCAGAGCAUUUGCAACUGUACUCAGUGCAACAGGCAAACCUCCGCAUCUUUCAAUGAUCUCAUUUGCUAUACUUUGAAAAGCAGAUAUUUUAGUUGAAUCACCCACUAUCUUCUCAAAUAACUGCAAUGCUUCUUCUUUUGAUAAAGCAUCGAUCCAGAAAUUUUUCUGAGAAUUCAUAUCAAUGCACAAUAAAUCUCGACUUCUAGACGUCAAUAUUAUUGUGCAUCUUCUCUGAUCAUCCUCUCUAUCUUUCUCAUCAACAUCUCCAGAAGGAAUUCCAACCGCAUCUAACUCAAGUUUUGUCCAAAUAUUAUCCAAUAUAAUGAGGACCCGCUUCUCUUGCUUCAACCUUUCACGCAGUCGUAUAGCUUUGCAAUUCCACAGAGACCAAAUCCUGUGGUAGAAUUUCGGCAUCCCGAACGUGUAUCUCCAAAGUAGUUAGCUUUGACAACCCCUUCAACUCAACAAGACUGGCGUUACUUCCUCCUUCAACCUUCUCCCACUGUGAAAAGCUGUUACUCAUAUAUAGUUCUUCUAAUCGAGAUAAUUUUGAUAUGACAUUUGGAGCUAUCACCACAAGGCUGCUACAAUUGCUCAAAUCUAGCAACUGUAAUCUCGUCAAUUGUCCAAUUACAAGUGGCAACUCCUUAACAUCAGAAUCUCGAAGGCUGAGAAUCUCUAAUUUCUUUAGCUGUCCAACUAUUGCUAUAUCUUUUAGUCCGCAACCAUCUAAACAAAAUGUUUGAAGGUUAAUGAGGCGACCAAGUGAUGAAGGUAAUGAAGAGAAAGGAAUUCUAGUAAGACUUAACACUUUGAGUUCUUCUGUCCCUUCAAAAAAGAGGUCUGAAAUUUGCAUAGGGCCAUAACCCUUUCCAAACAACAAAAAUAACUGGAGAUUGGGACAUUGCAACCUUUCAGGGAGCUCUUGGAUAUCUCUAUGAGGCAAUGAAAUAGCAAUUGGUCCUUUCUGUUUCGUCUCUUCCAUCUUUUUCUCAACGUCAGCAACAUUUGGAAUAUUAAACAUGCGCUUCUCUGCGGCAAUUGAUACGGCAACAACAUGAAUGACGUCAUGCAUUUUAACUUCAUCUUCAGCAUCACCGUCCAACAAUAAGCAUGAAGAUUUGAGAUUGUCGAUCAACCGAUGCACUCUACUCCUUGCUUCUUCCAAUGUGUAAACAUUUUCAAACAAACCCCAACCCACGCCAUAUCUCAAUAAGUCAGAAACUUCUAUGGCAUCACCUUCACUGUACAGACCACAAAGACGGAACAAAGAUUUUGCCUCCGCACUUUCCAAGAAGUCAUAACUCAAUAUUAUGGAG
This 1794-nucleotide long non-coding RNA is filed under the name Citrus sinensis (sweet orange). Its description in RNAcentral is "long non-coding RNA (CSIN_LNC001223)". The record is from RNAcentral. Lineage: Eukaryota; Viridiplantae; Streptophyta; Magnoliopsida; Sapindales; Rutaceae.